RNAcentral lists this long non-coding RNA (466 nucleotides) under Capra hircus (goat). RNAcentral's name for it is "lncRNA (ENSCHIG00000002181.1)". Lineage: Eukaryota; Metazoa; Chordata; Mammalia; Artiodactyla; Bovidae. The record is from RNAcentral.
CAGAUUUGGACCUUCUAGGUUUCCACUGUUCCAGAGUCCUAAGGGUCAGAAGUCCUGAGGCCUCAGUAUUGAGCAUCUCUGUGGGUGGCAGGCAGGAUGCUCACAGCGGGUGUGCCCACUAGUCUGCAGCCUCCUUGAAAGCCUGGAUGCAGAGUAUGUUAAGAACCAUAUUGAAGAGGUUUAUAGACUCCAACAGGAAAACCCACAAAACAGAUGAGGAAAACAGCUGUGAAGCCUGCCUACUGAUUGGUUCCAGGACUUGACUGAAUCUCUGUACCAUCUCCCUCUGGGACGGUCAGUGCUGCCACCAUCCCGCAGGAGUGACAACUGAGCCCAAUCAAAGGACACCUCUCAGAUACUCAUGCUCACAGUCAGGACACCCUAUGCUUGUCACCCUCCACCCCCAGCAAUAAAGAGCCAUUUCUGUACCUCCUGCAUGCCCCAUUGCAUUCCUUCCAUUGGGAUU